UAGUGAUUUUCAGCCUGAAAAUGUUCCUCUGUGCCGUUUUACAUACAGGUGUGACAACCCCCCCUUCCGUGAUCCCCAAACAGGGGAUUUGAGAAGAAAUACCCAAAUAAAAAGCACAUUUCUUGCAGCAUUUUUGACUGUAGGUGCCUGUACUACAGAAGUAACACUCUGCUCACCACCUGGUUGCCAUUUCCAUGUAGAUACACUUGUGCUGCUCCCUCUGUUUGCUGCUUUAAAAAUCACAGGAAGGCUGUGACCUACAACGAGGCUGGUCUUCCCUUUUUACAUUUAUUGAGAACCCUUUUUAUCAUUUAGUGGUUAUUUUGCCACUGAACAAAGCAUCCAUCAUUCACCUAAACCUUCAAGUUUCAGCGUUUUGUGAUCUGAACUUUUUGGUGUGUUUUUGAUUGUUGGUUUUUUUUUUGUCAGAGUUGCUUGUGCUUUUCAGGCAGCACUGAAAAUGUGACUUUUCAGUGUAUUGUCAGGUGUUUUUCACAUCAAAGGUUUCUUCUCUUGAUUUCUAGGUGACAAUAUCAGAGAGUUCUUGCUGAGUCUCAGGUAUUUUCGAAUCUUCAUUGCCUUGUGGAAUAUCUUCAUGAUGUUCUGCAUGAUUGUGUUAUUUGGAUCUUGAAAGUCACACACAAACACGUCUGUUACCUCGGAAGAGACUUUUGGCUGGGAACAAACUUUUCUUAAAAGAUUCCAAUGCUUUCAAACUGCAGCCCUGGGCUCGUGGCUUGUCCCCCCCAGCCCAUCGUGUGCUGGUCACUCACUGCCGGGGCUUUGAGCCACAACAUUCACAGUCAAAUUAUCUCAAACUUCACUGAAAUAGAGAGGACUUCUGUUUUUCUAAGCUCAGAGUGAGGUGCAGGGGAGAGCUGGAGUGUGACUGCAGUUCCCAGUCUUAAACCUCUGCGUUACCAGACCCAUCCUGGGCUGUGUCAGCUCAUGUCACCCCUGUCCAGGUUAUGUGCAAGUCACACUCCUUGGGUCUCAGUUUUAUAUAAAGCUGAGCAAAGAGUUCUUGUAACCUCUCACUAUUCCAUUAGUUUUGUUGGAGAAAAGGAAUAUUAAAAUAAAAAAAAGAGAGAUUCUCACCUUCCUGCUGUUUUUCCAAAAGAAACACCCCAAAACUUUUAAAAAUAAUAUAAUUUUGUUUUCUAAGCAAUACAUAAGGGAUUUUGAAGGGGAAGAAUGGCAAAAAUAAUUCUCUAAGCCAAGUUUAAGGGAUAGUUUUGAAAUAAUCUUGGAUUUGGUUGAAUAAAGCUGUUCUAUUUAAGAGUAAAAUAUA
This is an RNA transcript of Manacus vitellinus (golden-collared manakin), 1291 nucleotides long. RefSeq lists it as uncharacterized. The record is from RefSeq and is a predicted model, not a curated record. The transcript is spliced from 2 exons. Lineage: Eukaryota; Metazoa; Chordata; Aves; Passeriformes; Pipridae.